CUCGAGAACCAUUGCUAGUAUUCAUAAAAGAUUUGUUUCACAACUCAAAUUGUAAAUAAGUGAGAUAAUGAUUAAGAAUUAAAAAGGUAUUUAUCUUCAAUUCAAAUUCUUUAAGUAUUUAUUUUUAAUUCAAGUUGAAGAUAACUACAAUUAUGAUAAAGAAUCAAAAAAAAUAUUUAUCUUCAACUUAAAUUCAUAAAAUAAUAGUUUUUCAGCUUAAAUUUGAAUUGCAAUUUUUUUUUUAUAUAUGGAAUAAAAAAUAUAUAUUCAUGUUCAACUUGAUUUUUAGUCCUUUCUAAUAUACAAAACACAUACACCGAUCAUGUUAGUGACUAUAUGGAGACUUUGUCUAUUAAAUAUUUAAAUUUGUUUUUAUAAUUAAAAGUAAUACUAAAUAUUAUACAAAUAAAAAUAAUAUUCUAUUUUGCAUACUUAAUUAGGUGAAUUCUUCAUUCUAUUUUAAUACUUCUACAAUAAUUUUGAUAAUUUGUGUAACAAAUUUUAAAAUGUUUUUAAAACUAUAAUCAAUAAUAACUAUCUAAACAUUUGUAUUAUUAUGUGAAUUACAAUAAUUUAUAUAUACCUAUUUAUAUUUUACAAAAUAUUAGAAUAAAUAUUAUACUGUCCAUUAAAAAAUAAAUAUUAAUUAUCAAAUUGUAAUUAAAUAUAAUAUAUUAUCAAUAUGAUCGUCUUAGUUCAUGCAUCCAUUUAUCUCUGUAUCCUAUUAUUGAUACAAUUUUCUUCAAUAUAAUAUGCCCACUUAUGAGCUCAUUCUGAUACUCAAAAAAUCCUAUUAGAAAAUCUGUAUUAUGGUAUAACUAGGUAACUUGGCCGCGCUAUGCGCGGUCAUAAAAUAUUAUAUCAAAAAUAUAAAUUAAAUUUUUGAUAUUAUUUGAAUAUAAAAGAGUUAUUAGUUCAAAAUUAAUUAAAUAGAUUAAAAUUUAAAUUUGAAUUCAUCUUAUUAUUCACACUGAACUAAUUUCUAACAUAUAAAAUAUACUAUUACAUGAAAGAAGGAAAAGUACUUUUUUUAUUUUUCGUUAAAUAUAAAUUGAUUAAAGAUAAACAAAGCUCACUAAAAAGAUUAUUUGAGAAAAAGAGAAGAAAAUAGUUUAUCCAUAACAAAGUGAAAAUAGUUGUAUUUAUAUGCCGGAAAUUAUAACGUAUACAGAUUUAAAAAGUAGAGCUUAGAAAAUAAAAUAAAAAAUAAAACUAAUCAUUUUUUGUAAUUUACACACAAUAUAUAUGUAAUAAUUAGCUUACUUGUAUAUAUAAUAUGUAAUUUCGUGAAACAUCGUAGAUUGAAGAAAGAGAAUUUUUAAUUUCUUCUUCACUUAUACUUUAAAAAAAUAUACUUAAUAACAUAAAGUUUAUAAUGUGAAAAUAAUAAUAAUAAAAAGACUGAAUCAACCGGUAAUUAUAUGAUAAUUGAAACAUAUUGCGAAAUUUAUAAAAAUAAUUUGAUAAAUAGAAAUUGUGAUGUCUAAAACAAAAAAUGAGCAUACAUAAACUAUAUUAAAUUUAAAUUGCUAAGUAUAGUUUGAUUGUCUAGUUAAUUAUAUUUUUAUAGGCAUGAAGGUGACAUCUGGAUAAUCAAAAUGCUAUAGUAAUUUUGGUCACUUCACAGAUAAUAAAGAACUUGUUUUAACUUUUUUAUAUUUUUUACACUUUCUUACUCCCUUCAUUUCAAAAUAAAUGUUUAUUUUUUAUUUUUUAUUUUGCUUUGAAUCGUGUUUUACAUAAUCAUGAAGACUUUAAUGAUAUUUUCUUUUUCAAUUUUAUCCUUAUUUAAUCAAAAGAAAUUUAUAUAACCAAAAAGCUGGGUCAAAGAACUAUAUUUUUUUACAAGAUAUAUAUUAAAAUUAAUUUAGUAAAAAUAUCUUACUGUAUAGUCCCGCCCCAAACUAAAAAACAAAGUUGACAUACUAUGAAAAGGUGAAUAUCAUGGAACUGAAGAGUACAUAACAAAAUGAAAUUGAAUUACACUAACUUAUGUCUUAGUAGUUAUGUGAUGAAGACUUUAAGAAAAAGUAAGGAAAACACUAUUUCAAAUAUGAAAUAAAAAAGAUAAUCUCAAGUAGGGUUUCAUGAAAUAAAUAAUUAUGAACUUAUAUAAACAAAAUUGAGGAAUCUUUAAAGCAAAAAUAUAAAUAGUUCUAUCUGCAAUAGUAUUUUUAAACCUUUGUUAGUAGUUAGUAUUAUUACACAUAAAGUUACAAUAACUAAUUUGCAUCUAAACAAAAAACAUACUUGCAAUAAUAAAAUAUUAUAAAAAUUCAAACUAAAGAGAAGUUACAUGGAGAAUAAAAGCACACACAUCUUUCUUGGAACCUUAUCAUAAGAAAAUAAAUAAAAAUAAGAAUACAAAAUCAAUGCCCACUUUUUUUAUCUCUUGUCCGACACCCUCUUUGACAAACUAAUCAACAUUCAAGAGUCUUCUUCAUCGUGUCAAGUUAAAGCAUGAAAUGGAUAAUAUAAUAAUUACUACAAAGAACAAUGAAAUAUAAAGAAUAAUCUUGAGUUGGAAUUUCAUGAAACAAAAAACUUGUGAAUUUAUAUUGAUAAAAAAAUAGAGAGAUAUCAUAAAAGUAUCUUAAAUUUUAUAAUUUAAUAGUUGGGGGAUAUGAAUAUGAAAACUUAAAAGUCAUGGAAUUAAUGAUAUUAUUAAAAAUUGAAGUUUAAUAGAUUUAUAUUAUGGAGGUAAAACUUAAAACUUAAAUAAAAAAGAAAAAACACAAAUACAGUGCAUAAAAGAAAUACAUUUAUAUUCUAUAAAAAUAUUAUUUUUUUGAAUUGAAUAAAUAAAAAGAAAAAUAAAAAAAAGAGAAAAGAAAGGGAAAAAAAUAUAAAAUCAAUAAAAAUCAUAAAAUUUAACUAUCGUGAAUAGUUUGUUGGAAUUCUUUUUAAAUCAAAUGAAAAAGUUUGUAAUAAUUGAUGAGAAUUUGAGAAAUAUUAUAGGAAAAGAGAAUAAUAACUUUAAUGACAAAUAAAUUAAAUAUGGCUAUUGAUGAAAAUAUAAUUAAAUAUGAUUAGUUUUAAUGGUCUUUUAUGUUUUAGGUGAAGUUUUUGGUAUUUUAAAAUUAGAUAAAAGGCCAAAAAAGAUAAAUUUGAUUGAAACCCUUGGAGAGGGUCAUAUCACUGUUUUUAUAUUCAGAUUUACUAUUAUAUAUAAAUUUGUAAUAAAUUAAAUAUUUCACUUUUACAGCAAAAUAUUAGUGAAAAUAAAAGAAAAAAGAUAAAUACAAAUAAAGGUUUUAGAGAAAUGCCACAUAUUAUACAAGAAAAGACAAAUAAAUCAUACCUUUUACAAUGAAUUCUGGAUACAUAUCAUGAAAAAAUUUCUGGAUACAUAUUUAGAAAAUAUAUUUUUCAUGUAAUUAAAUACACAUAUUUAUGCAAUUUAUAUAUGGAACAUAUUCAUCUUACCUUAUUCUAUAGUAUCAUCUGCUUUUUUUUUUUAACAUCCAAAUUCAAAAUCAUAAAUCUCUACUUAUAGAAUCGGGAAAAGAACAAAAUUUAUGUUAGCAUAUUUUUAUAAAAAAAUUACAAAUAAAAAUGUAAACAAAUGAAGGAUGAAGAAUAAUUAUUUAAAAACCAUGUGAAAGUAGUUACCGAAGAAAAAAAUAUAUGUUUAACUGAGUAAGGAAAAUGACUAAAAGAAAGGAGAGGAUGAAAGUAAAGCAAAAAUAUAGUAAAGUAAAGCUUUGAGUAGUAGUUUUUAUAGACUUGAAACGACAAUAAAUGUGUAAUUAAAAGGUAAGAAAUUAAUUAGAAUUUAACUUUUAAUAUGGCCACGUUUUAGGAGACGUUUUAAAACGGCAAUACCAUUUAUCUUGUGUAUUUAAUAUUUUUUUGACAAUUUUUUAAUAAAAAUGAAAAAAAAAUGCUAAGAAAAUAAAAAAAGAGAUAUCAUAAAGUAUCUUAAAUUUUAUAAUUUAAUAGUUGAAGGCUAUGAAUAUGAAAACUUAAAAGUCAUGGAGUUAAUAAUAUUAUUAAAAAUUGAAGUUUAAUAGAUUUACGUUAUGGAGGUAAAACUUAGAAAUUAAAUAAUAAAAAAACACAAAUAAAGUAUAUAAAAGAAAUACAUUUAUAUUAUAUAAAAUAUAAUUUUUUUAAUUGAAUACAUAAAAAGAAAAGUAAAAAAAGAGCAAAGAAAGGAAAAACUAUAAAAUAAAUAAAAUCAUAAAAUUUAACUAUCGUGAAUAGUCUGUUGGAAUUCUUUUUAAAUCAAAUGAAAAAGUUUGUAAUAAUUGAUGAGAAUUUGAGAAAUAUUAUAGGAAAAGAGAACAAUAACUUUAAUGAUAAAACAAAUUAAAUAUGGCUAUUGAUGAAAAUAUAAGUAAAUAUGAUUAGUUUUAAUGGUCUUUUAUGUUUUAGGUGAAUAUUUUGGUACUUUAAAAUUAGAUAAAAGGCCAAAAAAGAUAAAUUCAAUUGAAACCCUAAAAGAGGGUCAUGUCACAGUUUUUAUAUUCAGCUUUACUAUUAUAUAUAAAUUUGUAAUAAUUAAAUAUUUCACUUUUACAGUAAAAUAUUAGUUUAAAUAAAAGAAAAAAGAUGAAUACAAAUAAAGGUCUUAGAGAAAUGCCACAUAUUAUACAAAGAAAAGACAAAGAAAACAUACCUUUACAAUGAAUUAUGGAUACAUAUCAUGAAAAAUAUUCUGGAUACAUAUUUAGAAAAUAUAUUUUUCAUGUAAUUAAAUACACAUAUUUAUGCAAUUUAUAUAUGGAACAUAUUCAUCUUACCUUUUUCUAUAGUAUCAUCUGCUUUUUUUUGAACGUCCAAAUUCAAAAUCAUAAAUCUAUAUCUAUAGAACCUGGAAAAGAACAAAAUUUAUGUUAGCAUAUUUUUAUAAAAUCUUUACAAAUAAAAAUGUAAACAAAUGAAGGAUGAAGACUAAUGAUUUAAAAAACCAUGUGAAAGUAGUUACAAAAGAAAAUAUAUAUGUUUAAAUGAGUAAGGAAAAUGACUAAAAGAAGGGAGAGGAUGAAAGUAAAACAAAAAUAUAGUAAAAUCAAGCUUUCAGUGGUAUUAGUUUUAUGGACUUGAAAUAACAAUAAAUGUGUAAUUAAAGCUAAAAAUUAAUUAGAAUUUGACUUUUAAUAUGACCACGUUUUAGGAGACGCUUUAAAACGGUAGUACCAUUUAUCUUAUGUAUUUAAUUUUAUUUUUUUUGACAAUUUUUUAAUAAAAAUGAAGAAAAAAAAUGCUAAGAAAAUUAAAAAAUCUGAGAAAAUAGAUAAAUUCCUGAUCAAUGAGGCAUGCCACAUCAGCGGACUUAUGUUCCUCCUUUAUUUAUAUAUAUAUAUAUAUAUAUAUAUAUAUAAAUAUUGAUGAUUAGAUUUUUGUUAUGCAAAAAUGACUUUGAAUUCAAAAUAAAAUUUAUUUAGGUGCUGGGUGGUUGAAAAGGCUCAUAAAGCCAUUAAACACAAUGAUAGUGAUGGUGCAGGCUAUUCUAUUUAACUCCUUCAUCAAUUCUUUUCUUCCUAAAAAUUGUGAUGACUUUAUACUAUAUAUAUAUAUAUAUACUAGUGUUUAUCGGUCAAUCACCUAAAUUAAUUUAUUAUUUCAUCAUAAUUUUUUUCAAAUUUUUUGUGCCUCCUAGUUUUUUCUUAAAAGUCAGAAGCUUAAUUGCAUGAGUUUAGUUUGAAUUUUUUAUUUAGAAAAGGAUCUGAUAUACCCUUAACUUUGUUAUUUAUAAUUGAUAUAUCAUUGUUAUGAAAGUGGUUCAUAUAUACCCUUAUUGUUAUACAAAUGACUCACAUAUGCCCUUUUUCUAUAUCAUAAGUGAAAAAAUUAAUUUCAAAUUAAUUUUUUAUUAAAAUAAAUAAUCCAUGUAGAGGUAUAUUUGAUCUUCUCACAUUUUAAUUUUUUUUUUUAAUUCAAUAGCUAAUUUGAAUUUAUUAUUUUAAUGGUCAAAUUUAUUUUUUUCACUUAAUUUCUUGUAAAAUUUAUCGUAGACGCACCAAUUACUUUUUACAGAUAUAAAAACUAAAUUACAAUAUAUCCUCAAAAAAUUGUUUUAAAUUUUUUUCUUACUUUUUUGUCUUUAUCCAUUCACACUUCUUUCUUUAUAUUUCUCUUAUUAUUACAUUAAAGAAUAAAAGAAAAAUAAUAUAAGAAUAAGAAACUUAAAUAAUAAUAAGGGAUAAAGGUCUGAAAAAUAUUCAACUUUGAUCGAAUUUACUGUUGCGAUAUUAAACUUUCGUGAUGAUCUAUUACCUCCUAGACUAUUUAAUACCGUAUCUUCUUCUUUAUUCCUAAUUCUCUCUACAAAAAUGUUGUUGCAUGUUGUUUGCCCCAAAUUGGCAUGUGCAUGUGGAUUGUAACACCAAGAUUCAGGCUAAUUGUGAUGAAUAUUUUAUUAUUAUUAUUAUUCAUAAUCACAGUCUGGUGUAUUUGUUAGUUUUUGAAUAUAAUUUCUUUCAAGAAUUUUUACAUACGUGUUAGUAAUUGUACUUGAUUUGCAUAUGUAUCACAUCUCUUUGAUGAAUUUGGUCUUUGUUUUCAACUAAUUACUGAAGAACUAAACCAUUUUAUGGAAGAUUUUCAGCUAUCAAAGAUCAAUGAAAUUUACAAGUGGAUUGUGCACCCAAGGUGUUUGAUGUUAUGCAUGAACCAUCAUGUUUUGACUAUUCCGUGAUUUUUGUUCUUUUUGGGUUGCAGUAGCCAAAAUCUCUAGGAGAGAAUGAGCAAAGACUCUUCUUGACUUUCGUUCACCAUGCUAGCAAUUAUCAUCUUCUACACGCUAAAGAUACAAGGUAUGAUUGUUAAUUACUUGUUACAUAUUCUCGUUGCUUCGUUUUAAUCAACGAUGAGAUCUUGAGUAUUGUUCACUAUUACUGUCAUUUUUCAAAUUUUGGUGUUUGAUAUGUUGUUCUACUUUUUCUUUGAAUUGAGUAAUAGUAAAACUGCGAGAAUUAUCUACUAUAGGCUGAUUUUCUGCAUUUAGAAAAAUCUUAGGAACCUGCUCACUUUGUCUACUAACAUUAUCAGUCCCAUUCUUAGUUUGAUUUUUGCCUAUUAUCAACAUGAUUGGUAACAAAGGCUUUUUCUUUACUUUUCCUUUAGUUUCAAGAUGAGAUAUUGCAGCCAUGUUUAAGCAAGUAAAUCAGUAGUAUUUCACUUCUAAAAGGUAUGUUUUGAACUCCCUCUUCAUAUAUAAGAUUAUAAUGGUGUUUUGACACCAUUUAGUAAAAUGCUCACGAAAUUGUGUCCAGAAAUAGAGAGUUCAAGUUUGUAUGUUUGUUUUUUCAUGCUAUUCAUUUCUUUUUCUUUCCAUUAUUUUCUUUGAAUUUAAAUUUUUAUAUCAUAUAAAAUAAUAUCCCCUUCAUAUUUUGAAAGUAAUACCAUUCACCUUUAUUAAGGUCCCUGUGACCAAAUUCCUUUGUGAUAGAAACUGUUAUCUAUUUAGUAAACAGUAAGGUGAAAAUGUAGCAUGUACCUAAGAGAGUAUCAAUGAAAUCAUAUUUAUCACAAUGUUAUUACCUUUUUGCUUGUCAUCAAUAUACGACAAUUGCUACAUCUAAACAUAAAAGUAGUUGUGCUCUUGAACAUAAUUAAGUGGAGUUAGUAAUUUGUUAUAGUUUAUGAAAUAUGAUGAGGAAGCAGUCUACAUUUGAUAUUUCAGAUUUAAAUAAUAGUUACUUGACUACAAUUAAGUUAAUUUAUUCAUUAGUGGUGAGUUUACAUCUUCUUUUCUAUGAUUAAUGAACAAUUCAAAUAGAAGAGGUAAAAAUGCUGAUUCUUGUGACUUUAGAUAGUUCACGCGUUAUUACUUUUUUGAAUUUAAUUAGUUUCCGAAGACCAAAUAUCAUUCUAUGAAAAUAUGAAGGCCAAAAUGUUAUUUUUAUAGAUUGUUUAUAAUAUAUCCAAAUAUGAUUUUCUUAUAGUAAUUUGAUUAGCAUGUCAUUCAAAAAUGCCAGAUAAUCCAGUUAUAGGUAUAAUGACUUUGACAUCAGCUUGGCCUUGGAUGAUAAAACUCCUCCAUUACAUGUAUGUGAACUCUCUUUCAUUUCGUCUUUGUGAUGGUUAGAUUCUUUCUUUUCCUUAUCAGUCUUGCCUUAAAUAAAUAUGUAUUGGUGUUUUGUAUAGAGAUGUUGGAAAUGAUACAUGGAGUUCUCUGUUUUUUUAUAUGUUAAUUAUUUGGUUAACACUGCUAUGUCUAAUUGUAGUACCAAAAGUAAUGUAAAUGAUACUUUAUACUUGAGAUCAUUUGUUUGGAUGUAUAUUUGAUGUAUCUUUCUUAAGCAGACAUGUGUAUUAUGAUUAUGUUCAUAGUCUUUGGUUGUUUUACUAUCCGGAUAUCUAUUCCUUCAUCUUCUUUGUUUCCCCACUUUUUUGCUCUCUUUUGGACUUCUCAAUAGUUUUUCGAGCUCUCUUAAUCUUCGCAACUGGUGUUCUAAUAUUCAGGUUUCCUCUCUCAUCCUUGCCAACUCCUUCUCUCUUUUUUCAAUCUUCUUUAGGGCUUUCUUUUCUUGUCUGAUUUGACCUGAUGAGGUUGGUAGAGUAAGGGAUGAGGGUGAAAAGGAUAUAACUCGGCUCUAUUAUUGAAAACAAUGGUGAAAUUUUACUAUGAGUUCAAAAAAUUACUUUACAAAUUUCCAAGAACUGUCAAGUGUAAAUUAUAACAAAAAUAGAGGUACAUAAUGUUUUUUAUCACUAUAAAAUUUCUUGUGCUUUUGGAUCUUUUCUUACUUGAUUCUACAUACACAUGUUCUUUUUUGAAUAUUUGGAGUCAAAAUUCUUGAUUUUCUCCAUAACGGCCUUCUUUGGGAGGUCAUGAGGAGAUCUGAGAGGGCUGUAGUGGGCCGGAAUUCAUGUUUUAGAGAUUUUUCCUCUCUUCCUAAUUUCUUUAACACUAUGGAUUAAUAUUUUCAAAGGUUAGUAAUAUAUUUCUGUUCAGUCAAUUUUUUUUUACCUAUUACCUUGUUUUCUAGACUAGAUUCGAGUGGACAAAAAAAAGUUAUUUUAGCUCUUCCUAAAAAUAAGAAGCAAUGUAUAUUAUUCUAAUUUUGAAGAGUAAACUGAAGACAAAAAAUAAUUGGGCUUGCAGUAAGGGCAAUGAUGCAUAUAACAUGAGGUGAUUGUUUCCUAAAAUUCUAUGUUCUCACUAGGAGAGAAUAUGAAACAGGUUUUUAUUAAUACUUUUGUUUUAAGUACUUUAUCUGUGUAUUAGUGUGGUGAACAUGUAAAUUACUAUGUUUGGAACUAUAGUUAGAAGCAUCUAUACUUUGAUGUUAACUGAAACAAGUUAUAUUUCGUUGUUUCCAGCUAAUUAUGAUUUCACUGCUAAAAUAUUUAAUAAUUUGACUGUUCCAAGCAUUUAUAGUAUAGACCUAUAGGAGGCAUCACGGACCUAUUGAAAGAAAUGUCAUAUUUCUAACAAUGUGAUACUGAAGCAGUAUUCAAGUAGAACAAGGAACUUCUUCUUCCAAACAAGUGACUCCUAUAUAAGCAACCAUCAGUGUUUUCAACUUUUCUCUCGACUUUUUACUAAGAGCUUCACGCUUCUACAAGAGUUUGAGACCACUUGUUAUGUCAUGUGGCAGAUUGGGGUGUAUUUAAGUUAAGUUAGUCAAGUAGAGGAGUGUUUUUAAGGCUAUCAAUAGUUUGAGCAUGAAACUAAUAAUUCACGCCAAGUUCAGGAUGUUAAUACUUCUCUCUUCUUUAUAUUGCAUUAUGAGAAUAGCAUUCCAAAUUUCACCGCAAUGACACAAGAUAAGGGAAAUUAAUACCAAUGACUUUCUUUGUAGGAGUUGAAUUCUUAGUGAUAAGUAGAUAACUAAGCAGCUUAAAACAAUGCUCCACUACGAAUUUGUACCUAGCUACUCAUAACAAUGCACAUAAUUUUAUGACAUUCAUAGAAUUAGGCUUUUAGUAUAAAUAUACUAACUCGCAAAAAAGCUAUUGUUAAGAAUAUGACGCGUAAAUGAUAUGUUUGUAACUUUUUCCAGGGAUCUUCAUAUGAGACAUCUAACUGCCACCUAAGUCACUUGAGUUGUGGGUAUACGAGGUUAGACCAUACUUAGAAAACAUUAUGCUUUUAGUGUUGAUUCAAAUGAAUCUAAAUAAGGAAUUUUUAUUCAAUCAUUAUUUAGAAAUAUUUUUUGCUGAAUUCUACCUACUUCACAUGUACAUGAAAUGAAUGUGUUGGUUACUAUGAAAUGAAUGAUGAACAAGACCUACACAAUUGUGUACUAUAUGUUGUUGUUGAUAUCAAAUGAUAAAAUUAACUGAUCUUUUAUGAGAAACCCAUCAAUGAUUCAACAUCUUUUUUAUGACUUCUAAAAGUUCAUACAUUUGAAUUGCAUAAGUUUGCUUCGAUAAGUUCAUAUAUCUGAUUUAUGUGGGUUGCUAUGCAAAUAAUUUACCUUGCUGCUUCAAUGAUCAAUCUCAGUGAAUAGUUGAAGAGGUUCCUACAAAAAUUAGAGAAAAUCCAAGAAGAAGGCCUUUGUGAAGUAUUCCAAUAAAUAUGAGACUGAUGAAGGUAAAAAAAACAUACAAGCAUUGAUUUUAUGCUUGUGUCAUUCACGUAUUGGCUUACUUAGGUACAAAAUCUGAAUGUCAUCCCUCAUAGAUUUUUUUUUGUGGGAGGGAGGGGGGGGGGGGCAUGACUUGUAUCCACUUUUGUUGUAUAUAUAGAAUGUAUUUCAAUUAAAUAAACUCAUGCUUUCUCCAGAAUUUUUGUUUAGACCAAAGUUCAAGUUCUGUGAUACUGGUAGAUGUCGUAAGAAUUAAUUUCUACUUGACAUUUGCACCUCUUAAAGUUAAAUAAGUUGAUACUUGCAUGUUAUCCUCUUUCGCUAGGCAAAACAUCUGCAUUCUUUCUAAUCCACAUAUACUGGCUAUUUAUGCAAUGAAUUUGUUGAUCUUAUAGGGCUUAACAACAUGAUCAAGACAACAAGAGAUCACUUACCAGACAUUUAGGUUUGGCGCUGAAUAUUUUGAUUGAGAAAUAGUGUUGAGUACUAUUGGUCUAUGUCAGAGUGGAGAUAAUGUACAUAGCCUCUAUUUAAACUUCCAUAUGAAUUAGUGUUUAUUUUAUUUAUAUUGAUGUAAGACUGGAAGAGGAUCAAUAUUAUCUAAAGGUACAUGGACUUCUCUUUCACAUGUACAUAAACAUGUCACUUUCCUAACCAAGUUAGUGCAAAGAAAUUUAGAUUAAAUUAUUUAAGUUCUAUUCUUACGAUAAAAAAAAUGAUAUUGAAAUCACACAUGUUUG
Molecule: long non-coding RNA, 11224 nt
Filed under: Solanum tuberosum (potato)
Lineage: Eukaryota; Viridiplantae; Streptophyta; Magnoliopsida; Solanales; Solanaceae
Description: long non-coding RNA (STUB_LNC009620)
Source: RNAcentral